GUGGUUCUCGCAACCACCACUUGUCUCGUUCGGGAGUGGAGCGGUUCCAUGUUGAAAAAGAGGAAGGUGAGAUCUAUGUUGAACACGAGCUUGCCUCUGUGGUGCCACCGCCCGAGAAGAAGAGGAAGUUUUCUCCAAUUAUAUGGGACCUAGCAGUGAAGGAAGAAAGAGUCUCUUCAAAGAGUAGGAUCUCGCAGAUUGCUGCUCUGUCUCCUCCUCGUCCAUCUCUACCUAGCAGUCCUGGAGCCUAUGUUGUUGAUUGUGGGAAUGUUAUGGAGGAGUUUUUGCCAGAUUCACGAAGCUACAAACAAGAUGUGGAGGAAGAGAAUGAUGUGCAAGGUUGGACAAUCAAAAAGUCAAGAUGGGAUUGUGAUGAUG
This 378-nucleotide long non-coding RNA is filed under the name Glycine max (soybean). Its description in RNAcentral is "long non-coding RNA (GMAX_LNC003878)". Lineage: Eukaryota; Viridiplantae; Streptophyta; Magnoliopsida; Fabales; Fabaceae. The record is from RNAcentral.